RNAcentral lists this ribosomal RNA (308 nucleotides) under uncultured bacterium. RNAcentral's name for it is "partial 16S ribosomal RNA". It matches the Rfam family "Bacterial small subunit ribosomal RNA", at positions 505 to 808 of the family's 1533-position model. The record is from RNAcentral.
GAGACAGCAGUAGCCCGGGAACACGAAGGGGGCUAGCGUUGCUCGGAAUUACUGGGCGUAAAGCGCGCGUAGGCGGUUACUCAAGUCAGAGGUGAAAGCCCGGGGCUCAACCCCGGAACUGCCUUUGAAACUAGGUGACUAGAAUCUUGGAGAGGUCAGUGGAAUUCCGAGUGUAGAGGUGAAAUUCGUAGAUAUUCGGAAGAACACCAGUGGCGAAGGCGACUGACUGGACAAGUAUUGACGCUGAGGUGCGAAAGCGUGGGGAGCAAACAGGAUUAGAUACCCCUGUAGUCCCUGUCUCUUAUACA